AAAAAUUAUGCAAAGGACAAGCAUGAUUUGUCUAGUUUUGGCUGGAGAAAGGCAAGCUCCAUGAGUAUCUUGUGUGCACACAUUAUUUUGAUGUUGACGAGGGGAAAGAAGACAAUCAAGUAUCACAUGACUCAUUGAAGGGAGAUAAGCCAGCUCAAUUUGAAUCCUCGAUUAGAAAGGUAAGAUGGGCAUGCCACUGCAGUCAAGGUUGCAACACUAUAGGUUAGGCUUGAAUCAUUAUUGCUGUCUAGAGCUACUUUAUAUUGUUUUUCCAAACAUAUUGUAAUACUGUUUUGAUUUAUCUUCCUCUUUGCCAAGAAUAUUGUAAUGCUGUUUUGAUAUGCAUAUCAGAAUAUGUUUUAAUUUGUAUUUUGGAUGGAUUAGUAUUAAUUAUUAUGAUGUUUUGUAUUUUGGAUUACAAUGUGGUUGUACUUUAAUGACAUUAUUACUAUA
Long non-coding RNA from Trifolium pratense (red clover), 453 nucleotides. RefSeq lists it as uncharacterized. Lineage: Eukaryota; Viridiplantae; Streptophyta; Magnoliopsida; Fabales; Fabaceae. The transcript is spliced from 2 exons. The record is from RefSeq and is a predicted model, not a curated record.